UACGGGGGGUGCGAGCGUUGUCCGGAAUCACUGGGCGUAAAGGGCGCGUAGGUGGUUUGAUAAGGGUGUGGUGAAAGCCCGGGGCUCAACCCCGGGUCUGCCGUGCCGACUGUCAAACUCGAGGGCUGUAGAGGCAGACGGAAUUCCGGGUGUAGCGGUGGAAUGCGUAGAGAUCCGGAGGAAGACCAGUGGCGAAGGCGGGUCUCUGGACAGUUCCUGACGCUGAGGCACGAAGGUCAGGGGAGCAAACGGG
Molecule: ribosomal RNA, 253 nt
Filed under: uncultured bacterium
Lineage: Bacteria
Description: partial 16S ribosomal RNA
Rfam family: Bacterial small subunit ribosomal RNA
Source: RNAcentral